This 437-nucleotide ribosomal RNA is filed under the name uncultured bacterium. RNAcentral describes it as "partial 16S ribosomal RNA". It matches the Rfam family "Bacterial small subunit ribosomal RNA", at positions 29 to 507 of the family's 1533-position model. The record is from RNAcentral.
AGCGAACGCUGGCGGCAGGCUUAACACAUGCAAGUCGAGCGGGCAUCCUUGUGGUGUCAGCGGCAGACGGGUGAGUAACGCGUGGGAACGUGCCCUUCGGUUCGGAAUAACUCAGGGAAACUUUAGCUAAUACCGGAUACGUUCGAGAGCAGAAAGGUUUAUCUGCCGAAGGAUCGGCCCGCGUCUGAUUAGCUAGUUGGUGAGGUUACGGCUCACCAAGGCGACGAUCAGUAGCUGGUCUGAGAGGAUGAUCAGCCACACUGGGACUGAGACACGGCCCAGAAUCCUACGGGAGGCAGGAGUGGGGAAUAUUGGACAAUGGGGGCAAACGUGAUCCAGCCAUGCCGGGUGAGUGAUGACGGCCUUAGGGUUGUAAAGCUCUUUUCUACGGGACGAUAAUGACGGUACCGGAGGAAUAAGCCCCGGCUAACUUCGUG